Molecule: long non-coding RNA, 3470 nt
Organism: Marmota monax (woodchuck)
Lineage: Eukaryota; Metazoa; Chordata; Mammalia; Rodentia; Sciuridae
Exons: 3
Source: RefSeq, a predicted model, not a curated record
UCAGUGAGCUCAGUGUUUCAAAUCUGAGUGAGCUAAUGACAUCAAAUUCAAAAGGUUUGGGUCUAAAUUUUUGUGGAUUAUUCAACAAGGAUUGUGUUCUCUUUUCAGAGGGAUAUGCAGGCAUGCAGGCAGGAGGGGACAAUGGCCAAGCAUUUGGGGUAGUAGUAAAAGGAUUGGUAAAUGGGAAGCAAAAGCAUUCUCACUCUCCACCUCACCUGGUACGGGUACAGUACCUAAUACAGGGGCACUGACACUCCGGCCACGAUCUCCAGCCAAUCAAGAAGCAGAGAAGCCACAUGAAGAAACAAGAGAGGCCAAAGUCCAACCCAAAAGAGUUACAGGGAAGCAAAGAAAUAAAAAAGAGUGUCAUCAAGCAAGAGAGAAAAACUCAAAAGAAAAAUAAUCCCAUGAAGAAAGAUGGGUUUGACCAUUCUGGAAUUUCAUGAAACAUUUUGCCCUUAAGCUGAAAGCCCUUCUUCACCUGAGUUCUUCUUCAUUGAUGGAGAGAGUUCUCUCUGAAGGCCCUGGAAGCAUGAAGGCUGGAAGUAUUAUGGUGGACCACUGGUAUAUGAACUGUUCAGAAGCUUGUAAUUGUACCACAAAACCCUAAUAUCAUUUUGCCUUUGUUAAGAAAGAAUAAUAAAACAAAAGGGACAUUAAGAGAGUUAUUUGGAAGAUUCUUCAUAUCAUCUGAGCAAAGGCUAUCAUGAGGGUCAUUUCAAGGUCAAAGUUCACUCCUAGAACAGAGGUAAAACACCCUUCUCCAGCUUUCUUAUUUUUUUUCUUUUUUGCCUGGGGACAAUCAGGUCCUGACAGAGGCUUGGACUAAGAUCCCAAAGGAUUAGAGAAAAGAAAUCUGUAACAUUUGUGGGGGGACUGGAAGAUGUCCUCAGCAGUGACUUGUUAGCCACAAUCCUGGCAGAGGCAUGGCUUCUUCUCAAGAAGAGACAGAAGCAGAGAUUCCUGAAUUCCUUUCUUGUGAAACUGCUGCCUUUUCAGGAUCUGUGAUGGGGGCUGAGGUCAAUGGCAUGAGUGCAGACAAGGCAGGCAGCCUAGCAUAUGCUACACUGUGCCUAUAAGAACACAAAUGUGUUUGCAUAUCAUAGCAGUAUUGGUGGCAAAUAUGAAACAACAGCUCUCCCUGUCCAGUAAUUUCUUGUAAAAACCAGGCACCUGGUGAUGCACGGAAGACUCCCAGGUGUCCUUGGAGGAGCUCUAGGUUCUCUAAGAGGAAGACAAGCUCUACUCUCCAAUGGGAACACUUAUUUCUGAUCCAGGUUUGUUUCCAUUCUAAAGGGUAUUCUGACACGUGUAGAAUAUCCUCUAAGGGUGGAAAUUCCCAGGUAAAAAAGUUGAAGAUUUUAUUUUCUUGAUGAUUUGCACAGUCCCUGGAAGUUAUGAGCUGACUAUCACUUGAUAACAUUUUUGGAAUCAACAAAUUCCACUUUUCCACUAUCAAGGAGAGUCCAAAAAGCUUCAUUCUCCAGUAGAUUUUCUCCAACUGGAGAUAAAGAAUCAUCUGGCAGAAUUACCCCUGGAUUUGACUUAGCAGAUAAAAUACUGUUCAGGGAAAAUGGAAGACUUGCUCUUGUUCUUACCUUGAGUUGCCAUCACGAUCUCCUUCACCCUUCGGUACUGGUUCAAGAGCCCUGUGAGCUCCUCUAUCCGACGGUCCUGCCAUCAUGCAAGGGAUUUAGAUUAGCACCACUACUGGAUUUCAUUUUGGGACCCAGCUAUAUUCUGGGCACAUUAAGAAGAAAACCCACAUGGAACUUCUGGAGCAUCCCAAAGGGAAAGAGUCAAGGUCCAUCCCAUGGAACAGGGUCCCAGAGGUCUGAUACUCAUGACUCUAUCUGAAGGUUGUGGGCCAACAAUCACUGACAUAUCCUUCAAGGGUCUUAAACAUUUCAGAAGCAUGAAACUCUCUGCCCCCUACCUCCCUGAAGUAGCCACCAACAAAGUCUGCCUCCUGCUCCAGUGUUACCCUCUGAAGUUGCACAGAAAAAAGACUAAAAAAAAAAAAGCUGUCAUAUUUAACCUGAUAUAUUCACCUCUUCCUUAGGUGUCAGAGAUACUCACAUACAGAAGAAAUUUCCAGAGGGGAUAGGUUCUUUCAAGCAAGGGUCUACCAACUUGGGAGACCACAAAGAUCUUGGAGUCAGACACCAUUGGGUGUGAACCCUGGCUCUGCUCUCCACUAGUUACCUGACCCUGGGGAAAGGAUCCUUACAGAUGAUGUUUACAUUAUCUAGGUGCUUUUUAUUUAUAGGUGUGUUUAUUUAUGAUUAUGCAAGAAUGAGGUGUGAAGAAUAUAAGGUGGCAGGGUAAACCAAGGUAUUGCAUGUUACCCAGUGUCUUUAUGAUACUUGUAUAAAAAAAGAUUGUAUACACGAAUAUUGGUGGACCGUUUCUGAGUUUUGCUAGGAAUCAAAGCAGGAGCUAUUACAUUGGCAUUAACCAUAGUAGUAUUUUUCCCCGACACUAGCAUAAAUAGGCAGGGCUUUAAUUUGCCUUUGAAAGAUUCCAUUUAGGCAAAGUUCCCAGGCAUCCAAAACAGGUGCUGAAACUGAGUCUCUAGGAGGCAGAAGCUAUCUUCCUGGCAUCUGCCUGUUGAUGGCCCAAGGGACACAGCUCUGUCUAGUACCAGAGAGCAACAGGAACAAACAGAGCUAGAGGUGUUAUCAGGGAAAGGACAAUGGCUAUCUUACCUUAUCUUCAUUGGCAACAAGCAGUGUUUCCAUCCCCAUCUUCAGACGUUGAAUUUCUUGAUCUAAAAGAAUUUAGGCAAAGAAAGGAUUAUUUGUAUAAAUACAAACAGCUAUCAACAUAUGUUAAGAUGCCACUCAAGUUCAAACUUGUUAUGUGAACUUGGAUUGUUUCUUUAAAGAGCCUGGGAUGGUAUCUGGUACACAGUUAGUCUCAUAAAAUAUUUGUUUGACUAUUAAGUGAAUGAACCUGGUAUUUUGUCUUCUCUUUGUAGACAUUCAUGGGAAAAAUAAAAAUGCCAUUUAUGCAAAAGUGACACAGAAGAACCAAAAAUCUUUUACAAUCAACCUCUCCCAAGAAGGCAGAUAUUCUUAUUCUCAUAGGCAUAUGUCUAGGCUGCUAGCUUGUUUUUCUUUUUCUUAUUUUAAGAAACAGACUAUAAGUAGAGGAGAAUUUAAAAUAAGAAAAAUAAAAAUCUACAUCUAAAUGGAUACUGAGAAAAAUGAUUAUGUAAGAGUUUGGGGUAGUCAACUUAAUUUCAAAUAGUAUAAUCAGAAUUUUCAAAUGUUCAGAUACAUAAAUAAAUAUAUUAAACAAUCUCUACCAUUAAGGGAAAAUAAUCUUGUUUCAUUAUAAACCUACAGAAUUUCCCUGUGGGCUGAGGGCUCUGUGUUGGUCUGUGAUAGAAAACCCAUAUUUUUUUCUCACUUUAGACCCAUGAGGGACCCGUUUGAAUUCUUCCCAAACUUGUCUGAAGAACCAGG